GCUGCGACCAGUUGCCGGUGUUCAACGUUGCUGGAUUUCGUUUUCGUCUGCGACAUAGUGGCGUGGAUGGCCACGUUUCACCGGCCGACAGCCGAGGGCGCACUCUCGUGAAGUGGCCGCGCUGUGCCAAGCUGGGUUGUGCAACUUCUCUGAAGUUUGCCACCGCUCCCUCUUAGCGGCGGCUGGGCCGCUGCAUGCGCUGCGCCACCAUGGAGAGGGCUUCUCUGGUGGCGCUUUUUGUAACUACGCUGCGCAAGAGCCAAUAGCCAGCCUUCCAAGGUCACGACGGUCCCGGGGCGUCAGUACUGGGGCAUUGGGCAACACCCCUCCGACAGUCCUGUGC
Long non-coding RNA from Ixodes scapularis (black-legged tick), 343 nucleotides. RefSeq lists it as uncharacterized. NCBI's taxonomy places the organism in Eukaryota, Metazoa, Arthropoda, Arachnida, Ixodida, Ixodidae. The transcript is spliced from 3 exons. The record is from RefSeq and is a predicted model, not a curated record.